Molecule: ribosomal RNA, 470 nt
Filed under: uncultured bacterium
Lineage: Bacteria
Description: bacterial SSU rRNA
Rfam family: Bacterial small subunit ribosomal RNA
Source: RNAcentral
ACUCCUACGGGAGGCAGCAGGUAGGGAAUAUGCACGGAAUCGGGAAGCCUGUGAGCCAUGCCGCGUGUGUGAAGAAGGCCUUCGGGUUGUAAAGCACUUUCAGUAGGGAGGAAGGUAGUGUAGUUAACACCUGCACUAUUUGACGUUACCUACAGAAGAAGCACCGGCUAACUCCGUGCCAGCAGCCUCGGUAAUACGGAGGGUGCGAGCGUUAAUCGGAAUUACUGGGCGUAAAGCGCAUGCAGGCGGCCUGUUAAGUCAGAUGUGAAAGCCCGGGGCUUAACCUCGGAAUUGCAUUUGAAACUGGCAGGCUAGAGUCUUGUAGAGGGGGGUAGAAUUUCAGGGUGUAGCGGUGAAAUGCGUAGAGAUCUGAAGGAAUACCAGUGGCGAAGGCGGCCCCCUGGACAAAGACUGACGCUCAGAUGCGAAAGCGUGGGGAGCAAACAGGAUUAGAUACCCUGGUAGGAUAG